GAGGGUAUAGCUCAGUGGUAGAGCUCAUGCUUAGCACGCAAGGUUCUGGGUUCAACCCCGGGUACCGCCA
Molecule: transfer RNA, 70 nt
Filed under: Camelus bactrianus (Bactrian camel)
Lineage: Eukaryota; Metazoa; Chordata; Mammalia; Artiodactyla; Camelidae
Also listed under: 2 other names
Rfam family: tRNA
About the family: Transfer RNA (tRNA) molecules are approximately 80 nucleotides in length.
Source: Rfam by way of RNAcentral